UAUAGAAAGCCAAUCAAUCAUUCUGGUUUCCCAGCAGUGUUCCAACUUUAUCAGUUUCAUUAAGAAAAGGUCCUCACUUUUUUAGCUUCCCCUAAUCAUGAUAUCAGAUUCCUCAUUAAAGAUUUUCAUUUCAUCUGUCAUUGUCAUUUUUUUAAUUGCUUGUCAAUCAUCUGCAUAAUUGUUAAUUGCACUUCACCAAAGCCACCCAGCAAAUCUGCAACUCUAAUGGGCCCCACCAACUUUACCUCUCUCUUUUCUUUUUCCUUUUAUUGUCUCCUCUCCUUCCCAUUCCAAUUCUUGCAACACUUCUCUCUCUGUUUCUAGAAUGGAGCAUGCUGGAUGGUUUAUGAGAAUUAUUCAAGGAGAAAGGAACUUCUGAUUCUUGAGGAUUAGUUAUUGUAGCCUAAGUAUUUUGAUGCUAAUUCCUAGAUUCCAUCAAGAUCUGAUUUUUAUGGCUCGCUCCAUCUAAAUUCAGGUGAAUCAGCAGCAGGUAAAUGGACUUGGUGGCUGUAAGAUGCCUUAUUAACAGUGUAUCUCGGUUUAUUCAUUUAGUAACAUGUUCUCCUGUGAAGGCUAUGCCUGCUCAGAAUGACUAUGUGCAUCUGAGCUGUCUACUAAAGCAUUUGAAACCAUUACUUGACAAUGUUGUUGAUGGAAAAGUACCUUCAGAUGAAUUUCUUUGUAACGAGUAUGAACAAUUGGAUGUAGCAGUCAAUGAGGCUAGGGAAUUUUUCGAGAAAUGGUCUCCAAAGAUGAGCAAGAUUCUUUGUGUUGUGCGAAGUGGCCUGUUGGUGCAUAACAUAGAAAGCACCUCGCUAAAGAUUACACAAGUUCUAUCUGGAUUCUUGCAAUCAUCGGCAUAUACCAAUAGCCUAUGUGAUUCUCAGAAAUUUCAGCAUUUGAAGCUAUCAAACCAUGUAAACGAGGUGCUUCAAAAGAUAACAGAAGGAAACAUCCCUUCUUCUGAGCAUCUUAUUCCAAUAAUUGAGUCACUUAACUUGGCAUCAAAUCAGGAACUGCUGAAUGAGUGUAUUGCCCUGGAGAAGGAGAGAAUGAAGGCUGAAGACCAUAAACUGAAUCAGAGCUUAGAAGAAAUCAACCGUAUCAUUGUCCUAUUGUCUCAUAUUCGUGAUAUAAUGGUUAAACUUGACAACUUCAAGUCCAUAGAUGGAAUUAAGAUCCCUCCCUACUUCCUUUGUCCUUUAUCUGUAGAACUAAUGAUGGAUCCAGUGAUUGUGGCUUCUGGGCAAACCUAUGAGAGGACUUCCAUUAAAAAAUGGCUUGAUCAUGGAUUAAACAUAUGCCCUAAAACUCGUCAAAAACUGUCCCACACUAACCUUAUCCCCAACUAUACAGUUAAGGUUCUGAUAGCAAAUUGGUGUGAGGAGAAGAACAUAAAGCUUCCUAACCCUCCUGACUGCCUUAAGUGUGGAUCGGUUACACCUCAGUCAGAGAAUGUCAAUCAUGUGGAUAAUGUUCAAUGUAAUUUUGAAGGUGGGAAUUCAAUAUUAGAAUCUUCAGUUGACGCCCGAAAUGAUUCUGAAAAGAAGGUUGAUGGUUCUAAUGGAUUCUGUUAUGAGGAGUUGCAUGUGUGUCAAGCUGAAAAGUCUGACCACUCCUCGACACACUCGUACGUCCACAGUAGGAGUGAAUCAACAUCAAGUGCUGUCUCUAGCAUCGAGUACCUGCCUUCAGCAUUACCUGAUUUAUCCAGGAUCUCAAAUAAUCAUGAUAGUGUGAGUGCUAGAUUAGGAGAUACAGUGUCUGAUUGCUCCCUAUCUGCUUUGAAUAAGAAUCCUGAAUCUUCUCCUUCUUUGACUGGAAGACACUACCACAGUUCCAAGACAAUGGCUGAAAUGGCUGUGAAUGGAAAUCACAAUCCAUCUAGAUCACUAUCACUUCCUUCUGAGGCUAGAUGCAAUGAUCUAACCUCAACUUCUCAUGUUGAAAAGCUCAUUAAAGAUUUGAAGAGUCAGUCAACUGAAUUGCAAACUGCAGCUACAGCAGAAUUGCGGUUUUUGGCGAAAUAUAACACUGAAAAUCGUAUUAUCAUUGGAAAUUGUGGGGCUAUUGCACCAUUGAUUUCAUUGCUACAUUCGGAUGUGAAGACAACCCAAGAGCAUGCUGUCACUGCACUUCUAAAUUUAUCAAUUAAUGAGAAGAUUAAAGCCCUAAUUGCAGAAGAAGGAGCCCUUGAUCCACUAAUACAUGUUUUGAGGAUUGGAAAUGCUGGAGCAAAAGAGAAUGCUGCUGCAUGCCUUUUCAGUCUCUCAGUUUUGGAGGAGUACAGGACAAAGAUUGGUCAUUCAGCUGCAGUUAGAGCAUUAGUUGAUCUUCUAGGAUCAGGUACUGUCAGAGGGAAGAAAGAUGCUGCUACUGCCUUGUUUAACCUGUCUAUUCUUCAUGAAAACAAAGCUCGUAUAGUCCAGGCUGGAGCUGUUAAAUAUCUUGUGGAGUUGCUGGACCCUGAUAGAGAAAUGGUUGAUAAAGCUGUUGCUCUUCUUGCAAAUUUGUCUACCAUAACAGAGGGAUGCUCAGCCAUUGCUCGAGAAGGGGGAAUACCCUCAUUGGUCGAGAUUGUGGACAUAGGCUCUCAGCGGGGAAAGGAGAAUGCUGCUUCAAUCCUGUUGCAACUGUGCAUAAACAGUCCAAGGUAUUGUCGGCUUGUUUUGCAGGAAGGAGCUGUCCCGCCUCUUGUUGCAUUGUCUCAGUCUGGCACUCCAAGAGCAAAAGAAAAGGCACAGCAGCUUCUGAGCCACUUCCGCAGUCAGCGGGAAGGUGCUAUGGGUAGAGGAAAGUCAUGAGGUGAAAAGUUUGAACUAAUUUAUACUUGUUCCCUCCGCAGUUUUAUCAAUAAUAAAUGUAAAAGGCAUCAACUUUAGUGCUCUUUCAAACAUGAUACUACUUUGAAGCAUCCAAGAGUAGGGAGCGAAGUUCAAAAAUAGAUGUCUCAGAUUGGCAGCAAUGUGCACCUUUGUUCAACAAAAGCGGCUUAGAAUUAGAAAAAGUAGUGCAUUUGUGUUAAUGUAAAGUAAGACAUAAGAGGUGUGUUUUGGUUACGUUGUAGUUUGGAGAUUAUUGACACUUGCAUCAAAAUCCUAUCUGUUUCCUAGGAAGCAGGGAACCUAAAUCGUACGGAUACGGACUCAUAACUGCAGGGUCUUCGCUGGAGUGCUUCCGCCCAUCCACCAUUUAGCGCCCUGUCUGCCAUGCCAUGCAAGACUUGCUAAAUAAUAUUAAUUGGAUA
RNA transcript from Coffea arabica (coffee), 3247 nucleotides. It is a transcript of the gene named U-box domain-containing protein 4-like, with no coding region annotated. The record is from RefSeq and is a predicted model, not a curated record. Lineage: Eukaryota; Viridiplantae; Streptophyta; Magnoliopsida; Gentianales; Rubiaceae.